CUGACGGUAGGACGAGGACAGGAGGCCUCCCAGAGCAGGUCUGAAGGAGCAGAGACAGAGCGAGGAAAAGGAGACUCCUUUCUGGAGGUGAUGGUGAUGGACUGAAGGGUUGUUCUUUGAACGGUGGAUGGAAGAUGUCUAGCGGGGCUAGGAACAGAGGAAUGGAUCGAGAGGAAUAAAUGGAUCUGAUUCCAUUGAAAGGUUGGAAGCCGGCUCUCUGUGGGGACGCGGGGCUGCAGGGCGAGGCGUGACCGGAUCGUCCAAGAGAGGCCCUGCGGCUCCGCCUCCUCUCCAGGCC
Oreochromis aureus is the source of this 298-nucleotide long non-coding RNA. RefSeq lists it as uncharacterized. NCBI's taxonomy places the organism in Eukaryota, Metazoa, Chordata, Actinopteri, Cichliformes, Cichlidae. The transcript is spliced from 3 exons. The record is from RefSeq and is a predicted model, not a curated record.